UACGAAUGGAGCGAGCGUUGUUCGGAAUCACUGGGCGUAAAGCGUAUGUAGGCGGAACAGAAAGUCAGAAGUGAAAUCCCGAGGCUCAACCUCGGAAUUGCUUUUGAAACUCCUGUUCUCGAGUCCCGGAGGGGCCAGCGGAAUUCCGAGUGUAGAGGUGAAAUUCGUAGAUAUUCGGAAGAACACCAGUGGCGAAGGCGGCUCACUGGCUCGAUACUGACGCUGAGGUGCGAAAGUGUGGGGAGCAAACAGG
This 253-nucleotide ribosomal RNA is filed under the name uncultured bacterium. RNAcentral's name for it is "partial 16S ribosomal RNA". It matches the Rfam family "Bacterial small subunit ribosomal RNA", at positions 524 to 776 of the family's 1533-position model. The record is from RNAcentral.